This 253-nucleotide ribosomal RNA is filed under the name uncultured bacterium. RNAcentral describes it as "partial 16S ribosomal RNA". It matches the Rfam family "Bacterial small subunit ribosomal RNA", at positions 524 to 776 of the family's 1533-position model. The record is from RNAcentral.
UACAGAGGUCUCAAGCGUUGUUCCGAUUCAUUGGGCGUAAAGGGUGCGUAGGUGGCGGGGUAAGUCAGGUGUGAAAUCUCGGGGCUCAACCCCAAAACUGCACUUGAUACUGCCUUGCUCGAGUACUGGAGAGGAGAUUGGAAUUUACGGUGUAGCAGUGAAAUGCGUAGAUAUCGUAAGGAAGACCAGUGGCGAAGGCGAAUCUCUGGACAGUUACUGACACUGAGGCACGAAGGCCAGGGGAGCAAACGGG